CCUACGGGUGGCAGCAGUGGGGAAUUUUGCGCAAUGCUGGAAACAGUGAAGCAGCAACGCCGCGUGGAUGAUGAAGGUUUUCGGGUUGUAAACUCCUUUUGUUAGGGAAGAUAAUGACGGUAUGUAACGGAUAAGCACCUGCUAACUCCGUUCCAGCAGCCGCGGUAAUACGGAGGGCGCAAGCGUUACUCGGAAUGACUGGGCGUAAAGAGCGCGUAGGCGGGAUAGCAAGUCAAUAGUGAAAUACUAUGGCUCAACCAUAGUACUGCAUUUGAAACUAUUAUUCUAGAGUAUGGGAGAGGUUGGUAGAAUUCCUGGUGUAGGGGUAAAAUGCGUAGAGAUCAAGAGGAAUACCCAUAGCGAAGGCGACCUGCUAGAACAUAACUGACGCUGAUGUGCGAAAGCGUGGGGAGCAAACAGGAUUAGAUACCCCUGUAGUC
RNAcentral lists this ribosomal RNA (440 nucleotides) under uncultured bacterium. RNAcentral describes it as "partial 16S ribosomal RNA". It matches the Rfam family "Bacterial small subunit ribosomal RNA", at positions 338 to 795 of the family's 1533-position model. The record is from RNAcentral.